Molecule: ribosomal RNA, 253 nt
Filed under: uncultured Clostridiales Family III bacterium
Lineage: Bacteria; Bacillati; Bacillota; Clostridia; Eubacteriales; Eubacteriales Family III. Incertae Sedis
Description: partial 16S ribosomal RNA
Rfam family: Bacterial small subunit ribosomal RNA
Source: RNAcentral
UACGUAGGUGGCGAGCGUUGUCCGGAAUUACUGGGUGUAAAGGGCGUGUAGGCGGGACUGUAAGUCAGAUGUGAAAUUCCAGGGCUCAACCCUGGCGCUGCAUCUGAAACUACAGUUCUUGAGUGCUGGAGAGGAAAGCGGAAUUCCUAGUGUAGCGGUGAAAUGCGUAGAUAUUAGGAGGAACACCAGUGGCGAAGGCGGCUUUCUGGACAGUAACUGACGCUGAGGCGCGAAAGCGUGGGGAGCAAACAGG